This 5516-nucleotide long non-coding RNA is filed under the name Homo sapiens (human). RNAcentral's name for it is "HSALNT0383113". Lineage: Eukaryota; Metazoa; Chordata; Mammalia; Primates; Hominidae. The record is from RNAcentral.
ACCCAUCCAUCCAUCCUUCACUCACUCAUUUGCAAACAUGUAUUGAACUCCUAUUGUACCAGGCACUGUGCUAAUUGGAAGGCUCAAUAAAGUGAAUCUGGGGAGGACCAGGAUACAUCACUGCCAGGGAUGACAGAGAAUAAAGUGCUGUGAUAGGGACAUGGGGCAUCCGAUGCCUGACAAGAGAGGGACUGACUCUACCUGGACAAAGAGUGACCUCUGGCCUUGUGUGUGCCUUGCCAUUGUUUCCUCUACAAAAGUGGGUCAUCUGACCUGAUUUUUUCAGUUAAUUUUAUGAGUAUUUCCCCAUGACCAUUAAUAUUUAAAAUGGCCUUUUAAGAGACAGCCUUCCCAUUGUCUUUUGUGGGAUUGCACUACUGAGCGACCCGUCUCCAACCUGUAUUGGCAAAAGCUACGGACGAGAGAGGCCUCAUGGAGAAGUGCAAAGGGAGAGGCCUUGGGGUCUGACCUGGCUCCCAAGAGCUCAGAUUCCGGGUAGUCUCCUUUCCUCCCCCUUGUUCCUCCCCUUGGACCCCCUUUCACUCUUUCAGUCUGAACCUUAACAGAAGGAUUCAGCCCGCCUAGGCGCUGGGCCCCACUUGCUGUGACCCGUCAUUGUUUCUGCAUGGCAACCAGGGAGCGCCUGCUCCCUGCCAAGCCCAGCGAUCAGGACCAGAGUAUGUGCAGUUCUGACCUGUGUUCUCCCCUCCCCUGGCAGAGAGAAGCUCAGUGACUGUCCUUGCGUCAUUUGAGCAGAGCCCACAAAAGGCAGCUGCUGCCCACGGGGAGCCUGUCAAACGAGGGCCCAGUGGGCAAUGUGAGCUGAAGUUCCUUGACCACAACAAGCCUACCAAACCCCACUGGCUUUCCCCCAACCACUGCAGGCUACAAGUCCCCCAGUGACCCUGACGUGCAGUGAGUCUUCCUGAACCCUGUCCCUGAAGCAGCCAUCACGUGGGGUAUGGAUUCAAUUUUAUUUGCUCGCAGGUGUCUAAUUGGCCCGGCACCACUGCCUUUGGAUGCCGCUUGUGUCUGAGUCUACAUCAUUUGUCAGAGUUUUAUGUAUCUUUUUUCUGAGGUAGUAAUAGUCAUCCUCUGGACAAGAUCCUAGAGCCUGGAAAGUUCCAACCUGAAAGUCUGUAUCCAGGGACAGGACCCUGUUGGGCAGGAUGACAACGAGGGAGUUUCUAGAGUGGGCGUUCACCCUGGAGGGGCCCUUGGAGAUCAAGGAGUUCAGCGUCCUUGUUCCAUACCCAAGGACACGUGGGCUUGGAGAGUUCAUAUGAAUUGCAGCCAUCUUCUCCACGGGAGGGAACACCGUCUCUGAGGCUGCUCAUCUGUCCUGGAGCCCUAAGCAGGUGUCUGUGGGAGGGCACUGGCUGCUUCUCCCUGCAGUUCUUCCUUCUAUACCUGUGUCUCGUGGCUUUCCUGCCCGCCUCAGAGGAGGAUAUCUGGGGCAUAUCAGGUAUACACAGUCACCCACGUUCAGACUAUGAAGGGCGUGGCCACUGCACGCAGGACCAGAGAACGGAUUUGGACACGUCUGUAAAUAAGCCGCAGGUUCACAGCACAGUGCCUUUCAAGGGAAGCACUGUAAGCUCACUGAGCAAGGGACCCAAGAGUCAAACCCUGCAACGUCACCCUGAGGGGGACCGGGAAACAUUGUGUAGGGCGGUGACCCCAACUGGAUGGUCAGACCCAGUGUGGCCUCUGCCGUGGGGGUUCAGCUGCGUGUUUCUCGGUCUGGAGGCCCCAGCAGGGCCUACGCAAGCUGUGGGGAGGAGGCUCCCCUGCUGGGGAUUCUUUGACAGGGUGUUGGGUGUCAGAGGCCCAGGGCCAGAGCACCAGGGGCCCCAGUGGGAGGAGCCAGGUGUAGGGAUGCCACCAACCAGCCCAGCAGCAACUGCAGGAGGCCCGCGGAGCCUAAGUUAAGGUAGUGUGGAAACAUCUCGGAAGUCACCUCGGGAGCCUGGAUGGAACAUGCCAUGUUCUGAUUCAGUGGAUCUGCUGUCUGAGACUCUGCAUUUCCAACAAGCUCCCAGGAGUUGCUGGUGCCGCUGGGCUAGGAAGCACAUCUUAAAGAGUGACACUUUUAGGCUACUUUUUUUUUCUACACCCUACUUCCAGCUUCUGAUUUCUAGCCCUGGAGGUGUAGGCCACAGCCCUGAGUAGCCCCUGCCCUACCUGCUUCUCUCCAGGGUUCCCCAGCCCUCCACUCUUCUCCCAGGGUCAUUCACAUCAUCUUUGAUUCGGGGUUUUCUCUGUCCCCCAAUCCCCCUCUCUUCUGCAGCACCUCUCAGAUAACCCCUGUAUUAAAAUCACAGUGACCAGACACACAUGCCCUGGCUGGGGGAUCACACAUGCGAACCUGCAGACAAUUCCAGAUACCCAAGGCCAGGAAGGCCCACGUGAGGAUGUCACUCACCCUGGAGGAGACUUGGAUGGGGUGGCAAAUUUCUAUUUGGAGGAAGAGGGUUUCCAGGAUGGCAGAUGCCAGAAGAUGGUCCUGAUGUCUGAGGAAGGGCCACCUAGUUUGACAGGAUGCAGCCAACAGGUGAAAAAACAGCUUUAUUCCGAAAGAAAAUGGUCUAGUCAUUGAGGAGGACGGAGUGUAUCCUGCAGGGCCUGCCUGGUCUUGCAGGACAGAUUGGCAGAGAGGAAGUCUUGCCAUGAUGUCCUGCCUGUCAAGUGUGAUGGCAGGAAGAGGCUUCUGGCAUGGAAACAACUGAUUUCAUAGAGAACCCGCAGCUGGAUUCAAGUUCAACCCAGAAAAAUAGACAAUGCUGCUGGCAGUACCAGCCUGGGACACCAUAAUCCAAGUUCACAGCUUGAGUUUCCCUGGAUCAACCUGACAACAUGAAGCUAAGUUCCAAGUCCAUGGAGGAUGGACUUUCAUCAAAUUCAAAGAAAAAAAAAAGAUUCCACUGGGAUUUAAUUCAGAUUGCAUUUCACCGAAAAAUUACAAGGAUUAACAACAAGGAUUAAUAGCAUUGCUGCAUUCAUUAUGGCAACCCAAGGUUAUGUCUCUCUAUUGACUAUUCUCUUUAAUUAAUCUGUGUAAAAAGUUUGCAUUUUUAAUAUAGGUCUUGGAUAUUUCUUAUUAGUGUUCUUUAUAUUUUUUUCCAAUACUCUUAAGAAUGCAUUUUUCUCCCUAUAUUUUCUGCUUGUUGUUAGAAUAGAAACAGUAUUUAUUUUGGAGAUUUUUGUAUUUUUAUCUUGUAUCUGACCCCUUCCCUAAUUUUUAUGAAUACUAAGAAUUUUACAGUCAGUACUUUUAUAUUAUCUUGGUGCAUAAUCAUAAUGUAGUCUGUAAGUAACAAACAUUUUGUUUCCUUCUUUCUAUUGUAGAGUUUGAGAAGUCGUCAGUGUGUAGUCCUGUUACCUUAAUUGUUUCUGAGUUAUGGGUUGAAUUUAUUUUGAAAUUUCAAAAAACUUCAAAGGGUAGUAUGUUAUUUUUGUGUUAAUCAAAAUGAACAAUGGGUUUCAAAAGCUUGAACAACGUCAUCUUGGGAGUGCCAAAUGAAUAGGAUGUCCUGUAUGUCAGGAGCAUGCCCACACUUUUCUUGCUAGGGUGAGUUUAUUGUCCCUGAUGAAUCCCAGGAGUACUAGUCCAUGAUGCUCUUAUUCCCUGGUGCUUUAACAUGCAGUGCAGCCGGAGUUGGCCUGAACUUUAGGAAAUGAGGUCGUAAGUCGAAAGAACAGGGAAUUGAGAAAGCACACAGAAGCAGCCAGGGCCAACAUUUUCCCCUAAACAAGCCAAUCAACAAAAAGCAAUGCCAAACAAGCCCCUUUGAAACUUUCAAAGUCCUCAUCCUAGUACCUUCCUAGCACUCUAGGAGACAUCUUUCAGCUGUUGAUUUAUGAACGCUGAGAGGCACGUGGAGGAAUUAAUGGAGGUAAAUAUCUAACUUAAAAAAUCUUCAGUAGGCAUUUUUAGACAAUCCUCCUUGAAAGAAAAGUGUGGAUGCUCUGUGCGUGUAUUGACUGCACCUGCAGGGGUAUAGCUGGAGAACACCCAGUGAGCAUCUUCAGGAGCCAAGUCACGCAGGGGCUUAGCUCUCAGUCCAUUGCGACAGUUGCCAUGAUGCCUUCUGACCAUUAAACACUUUGAACUCUUUUCUCUCAUCCUCUGUUAUUUGCUUUGGACCCAUAACAGACUCAUUAGUUAAAAAUAAGAAGCAAAGGUAAUCCUGAUGUUGAAUUACAAGUUAAUGCAGAGCACAGACAUGAAAAUAAUUCUAUGGGUUUGCUGCAGCAUAAUCCUUGCCAGAUCUCCAAGUUCCAUUCAUCUAAUGAAAAGCCUUAGUUUGAAGAACAUUUUGGAGAACUCUUACAUCAAGAGGUCUCCAGUACCUCAAAAACCAGUGUUCAAAAGGAAAAUGCACACGCGCAUUUCAGGGAGGUGGGAAUAAAAGCCUUCCUUUGCGCAGCGUGUUACAUGUGGAAAUGUGGAACGCACACGAUCAUUCUUACUGUUAAAAAACCCCACAAAGAUUAUAAAAAUAUGUCAGUUUUUUUUUGGUGCAAAAACUCACACGAUUAAAAAUAUUAUACUAUGAAAGCAGCUUUGAUCUAUUCUUCAGUCAUUUCUGUGACGUGUGGUUAAAUUUAAUCUGUUUAAAUUUUUUAUUUGAUUCUUCCAAACCAAACACAAUAUCUCAUUUUAAAACGUAUCUGCUGACAGUGGUUUUUCUUCUCGCCUGAAUCAUGCUGAGAACAGGUGUAACCAGAUGUCCUCUUAGCCUACAAACACAUUUCAGAAAAUCAUUAUAAGAUGCUCAAUUAACUUUGAGCAAAGUAGUUUCCUGUAUCCUUCAAAGAAAGACAUGUUUUCAAAAUGUCACUGCAGUAAAUAAAAGUGUUGACAUGCUGUGUAGGGCUAUUAGUUAUGGGGCCAGAAUUCAAAAUAGCUGAUUGGAAGUAGGGCCAGUUGUCUAUCAAAGUAUUUCUAAUUUAUGGCAACGAAAUCAUGUUAUCUGCAUAGAACAGAACUCAGCUCUCCCUACUUCUCUGUGAUGGGGGAUCUAUACUGUAUCUGGCUCAUCUAAAAGUGGUUCCAAAUCACUAACAAAUAUGAAUGGGUGUUAGACUAUGCUCCUAUUCACCCCCACUGGAAAAUCUUAUCUGAUAAAAGACAGUUUUGAUGUCCUUUGCUUUGAUGUUAAAGUAUGGGCUUCCUGAAUACAUCAAUACAGGGGUCUGAACUGAUCUUAGUACAUUUCAAAGCAUUUCUUGUCAAUGGGAGUCAAAACUCAAUGCAAGCUACAGCCUCAUGUUAUUCCUAAAAGAUUUAUCUUUGGAGUAAUAAACAGUAAGCCAAUUGUCCUUAAGACCACUACACUUAAAUCCUUGGUUCUCGUAUACAACAUUAGCUCCAGACAGCUAUAACUGGAUGUAAUCAAGAAAGAAAUGGCAUUAAAAGUUAAAAAAAUUUAGAAUUAUAAAAGCAUGAAAAUAGCUGCUUACUAUAAAAAUGUUAAAUACGAGACUCUACAUAAUAAAAAGUGAAAGCUGUA